This 329-nucleotide ribosomal RNA is filed under the name uncultured eukaryote. RNAcentral's name for it is "partial 18S ribosomal RNA". It matches the Rfam family "Eukaryotic small subunit ribosomal RNA", at positions 1470 to 1796 of the family's 1831-position model. The record is from RNAcentral.
CCCUUAGAUGUCCUGGGCCGCACGCGCGCUACACUGAGUGUCUGAGAUACGAGACUGCCUGGUCCGGCAAGGUCUAGGUAAUCGCUAAAAGACACAUCAUGCUUGGGAUAGAUUAUUGCAAAUAUUAAUCUUGAACGAGGAAUUCCUAGUAAGCGCAAGUCAACAGCUUGCGUUGAUUACGUCCCUGCCCUUUGUACACACCGCCCGUCGCUACUACUGAUUGGAUGUUUAAGCGAGGUUCUCGAACUGCUAGCGACUUAGCUUCGGUGAGGUCGCAGUGUGGGAAGUGAACCUAGCUUUGGUGUCUAGAGGAAGUAAAAGUCGUAACA